Long non-coding RNA from Rhagoletis zephyria (snowberry fruit fly), 102 nucleotides. RefSeq lists it as uncharacterized. The record is from RefSeq and is a predicted model, not a curated record. NCBI's taxonomy places the organism in Eukaryota, Metazoa, Arthropoda, Insecta, Diptera, Tephritidae.
GUGUGAGUUUGUGAAUUUUUAAUUUUAAAAUUAUAUUGCUUGCAAAUGUCAAAAAUGCUAAAAGCGUCCCCCAGUGGUUCUAUCUUACUAUCUAUGUAUCAU